GACGAACGCUGGCGGCGUGCUUAACACAUGCAAGUCGAACGGAAAGGCCCUGCUUUUGUGGGGUGCUCGAGUGGCGAACGGGUGAGUAACACGUGAGUAACCUGCCCUUGACUUUGGGAUAACUUCAGGAAACUGGGGCUAAUACCGGAUAGGAGCUCCUGCUGCAUGGUGGGGGUUGGAAAGUUUCGGCGGUUGGGGAUGGACUCGCGGCUUAUCAGCUUGUUGGUGGGGUAGUGGCUUACCAAGGCUUUGACGGGUAGCCGGCCUGAGAGGGUGACCGGCCACAUUGUGACUGAGAUACGGCCCAGACUCAUACGGGAGGCAGCAGUGGGGAAUAUUGCACAAUGGGCGGAAGCCUGAUGCAGCAACGCCGCGUGCGGGAUGACUGCCUUCGGGCUGUAAACCGCUUUCGCCUGUGACGAAGCGUGAGUGACGGUAAUGGGUAAAGAAGCACCGGCUAACUACGUG
This 468-nucleotide ribosomal RNA is filed under the name uncultured bacterium. Its description in RNAcentral is "partial 16S ribosomal RNA". It matches the Rfam family "Bacterial small subunit ribosomal RNA", at positions 28 to 507 of the family's 1533-position model. The record is from RNAcentral.